GGUGUCAAGCAUGGCGUCCAAGGGUCUCGUUGUGUUUGCUGUCCUGCUUGCUGCGGCUUUCCUCGUGGCCACAGCUGAACAAACUCGUGAGCUAGUUAGCAGCACAUCAUUAGGCAAAGAAACCUGUUGCUACUGCUACUAAUCACAUGCAUACCGUUUUUGUUCAUGCAGAGGCCAAGAAGGAAGAGACUAAGGCCGGUGUUCAGGGUUACCACGGCGGCGGCAGCGGAGGCGGUGGCUACCAUGGCGGCGGCGGCGGCGGCGGGGGGUACCCUGGCCACGGGGGCGGCGGCGGCGGGUAUCCUGGCCACGGUGGCGGCGGAGGUGGCGGCGGCUACCCUGGCCACGGUGGUGGCGGAGGUGGCGGCGGCUACCCUGGCCAUGGGGGUGGCGGCGGCGGCGGCGGCAGCGGCUGCCGGUACCAGUGCUGCGGGCACGGGCAUAGUGGCUGCCGCUGCUGCGCAAGCCCCAACGAGAUCCCGGAGCCCAUGUAUCGGGCGGAGGUCCGCAACUAAGUAUCAGAUGCUACAUACGGACGUUGCUACUUGCCUGCACGUAGUAACUACUCGUAUAUGUGGUCAAUAAGAAGGUAGGUGCAUGUAUGUAUGUAUGUACGCAUACGUAUAGAUUGCACAGUUAUGUUGAUCCAAUAAUGCCAGGACUCUGUCCUGAUCGUGUAUUCACCCUGUAAGACUUCUCUUUCUUGCAUAAUACAUGCAACUGUCAUGCAUGUAUAACAAAAUCUCAUGACUCUUGUUCGAAACCGUAUAGCUCGUAUAUAUACCAGGUAUAUCCGCGAAAAGUUUUAAACAAUAACCGCAUAUAGUUUUGAGAGCGCAGCCGUCUGUGACGUGAUAUUGUUUUCUAGGAAUAUAUUAGCUUUUCUGCCAA
RNAcentral lists this long non-coding RNA (891 nucleotides) under Triticum aestivum (bread wheat). RNAcentral describes it as "long non-coding RNA (TAES_LNC021449)". Lineage: Eukaryota; Viridiplantae; Streptophyta; Magnoliopsida; Poales; Poaceae. The record is from RNAcentral.